GGGGAAUUUUGGACAAUGGGGGAAACCCUGAUCCAGCAAUGCCGCGUGAGUGAAGAAGGCCUUCGGGUUGUAAAGCUCUUUUGUCAGGGAAGAAACGGUGGGGGCUAAUAUCCUCUGCUAAUGACGGUACCUGAAGAAUAAGCACCGGCUAACCACGUGCCAGCAGCCGCGGUAAUACGUAGGGUGCGAGCGUUAAUCGGAAUUACUGGGCGUAAAGGGUGCGCAGGCGGUUGUACAAGACGGAUGUGAAAUCCCCGGGCUUAACCUGGGAAUGGCAUUCGUGACUGUAUAGCUAGAGUGUGUUAGAGGGGGGUAGAAUUCCACGUGUAGCAGUGAAAUGCGUAGAUAUGUGGAGGAAUACCGAUGGCGAAGGCAGCCCCCUGGGAUAACACUGACGCUCAUGCACGAAAGCGUGGGGAGCAAAC
RNAcentral lists this ribosomal RNA (425 nucleotides) under uncultured bacterium. Its description in RNAcentral is "bacterial SSU rRNA". It matches the Rfam family "Bacterial small subunit ribosomal RNA", at positions 356 to 773 of the family's 1533-position model. The record is from RNAcentral.